GUAGAUGGAGUCGUUUUAAAAAUUUUGGGAAUAAGCAUAUUCCUUUAGCGGAGGCUAUGGAGGCCACGGUGGAGCUCAUAUCUCCUCAAAUUCUCAGUAAAAAUUUAAAGGUUGAGACGGAUGAAGUUGGCUCUAAUUUGGGGGGCAACAUUGGCCUUGAAAACUAGGUUUGAUUUUCUUCGUUUACUUUAAAUUGUUUUUUCAUGAAUAUUUCUAUAUUUUCGUGGAAUUUUCAGGGUUGUGCUAAUGUUAAAUUUCCUAGAAUUUUUUAGGAACAUAAUAUGGAUUACAAGCCUGAUAUUGUUAGUCUUCUUGAACCAAGAGUAAGUGUGGUCAAGGUUGACAAAAUUAUUGCUAACUUAGGAUUCCAGUUUUUACAUCGGGUGGAGGCGAUUGGUUUUUCUGGGGGGAAUUUGGAUAGGAUGGAAAGAUACCGUUCGUCUUGAGAUGAUUUGUAGUCAUCUGCAAUUUAUCUUGUCUUGAGUUUGGCAGAUGCCCUCACCACAUCCUAUUUUUAUUUCUUUUGUCUAUGGUAGUCCCAACAAGCAAAUGCAUCAACUCCUUUAGAAUAAUUUGAAGAAUACAAUUAUAUCUGGACAGAUUCCAUGGAUGGCUAUUGGUGACUUCAAUGCGAUCCUUGCUUCCUCUGAGAAAUCUGGAGGACUCACUAAAGGAAGAAGAUGCUCAUAGUUUGGGGAUUUUGUUGACUCUGCUGAGCUAUAUGAUUUAGGGUCUAGAGGGCCACCCUUCACUUGGCAUAGGGGAUCUUUGUCUGAAAGACUUGACCGUGCCCUAGGAAGUGAGGAUUUGGCCCGUAAUUUCCUAACUGUUUGAUUACCCAUCUCUAAAAAAUUAAGUCAGAUCAUAAGUCUCUUCUCUUGGUUUUGAAUCCGAGUAUUUCUUUCCAUCGGGGAAGACUUUUUAGAUUUUUAGCAGGGUGGAUUGAACAUUCUAUUUCUCUUGGUAAGCUCACGCAUAAACUCAAGAAAUGGAAUAAGCAAGUUUAUGGUCAUAUCACCACUCGUAAAAGGGGUCUUAUCAAAAGAAUUGCUAACAUUCAGAGGCUAAGUGAUCAGUAUGGAUCCCAUCACUUAAAUAAGAUGGAUUUGUCUCUUCACCGAGAACUAGAGAAUGUGCUCCAUCAUGAAGAACUUCUUUGCAAGCAAAAGGUGCGAUGUGACUGGUUGAAGUUGGGGGAUAAGAACACCAAAUUUUUUCAUUCCCGAACUUUACAAAAGAGGAAAGACAACCGCAUUUAUGCUAUCCAAAAUUCUGACAAGACUUGGAUUUAUGAUCCAGAAGGCAUCGAAGGAGAAGCGAAUGAGUUUUUUCAAAGAUUAUAUAGUGAAGCUCCAGCGCCUUUGGGUAUUUUACCUCCUAACAGGUUUCCUCAAAUUGACCUUAUGGAUAUAAACUUUCUGGGAAAACCAAUCUUGUAACACCCCGCACCCGUGCCCUACCCUAGGACGGCUUACGAGGCGUUAUUAAACUUUAACACAUAUACACGAUCAUUUCUGAGUCAUCAAGACUUGAUCAAAUUUAAAACUUUUUCGAACUUUGUUUAACCUUCUUAAUACGGGCUUACAAGGCCUCAAACAUUCAUUAGAAACCACUUGAAACCAACUCGGGUCCUUAAACCGACUUAAUAAAAAUGAUUCUUGAAAUAGGGCACACGCUCAUAUGAAAGGGCAACAUGCCCGUGUCGUCAUUAUAACAUGGCCGUGCUGAUGGCCCGUACGGCACACACAGCCUAAGUACCUAGGGACAUGCCUAUGUCCCAUGGCCGUGUAGAUUUAUUUUUCAAUUCGAACCUAAAGGGGUUUUCACACGGCCUGACACACGCCCGUAUCCAUGGCCCGUGUCCCUCACACGGCCAUGACACGCCCGUGUCCUAGCUCAUGUCUAAAAAAACUUAACAUUCUAUUUCUGAUGUCAGCAUCCAAUUUAGGGCACACGGCCAAGGCACACGCCCGUGGCCAGAGGCCGUGUCUUCCACACGGCUGAGACAUACGGCUAUGUCUCUGCCCGUGUGUUUACUACCAUGCAUACUGACUUGCAAAUUUUACGUGCAGGGGACACAUGGCUUAACAACACCCUAUGGGGCUGACCAUGUGUCACACACGGCCUACACACGCCCGUGUGUCUAUUCGUGUGGACAAUAUCAGGCUAUUUACCAAGCUUUUUUGCCACCCUUACUUGCACUAACCUACAUAACAUCUAAUAUGAAAAAUCCACACAAAAAUAUAAGGUUUAAUUAGCCACAUAAGGCAUUAUCUCAUUCAUGCAAUUUACUCAUCCUUGAAAAUAUCAUCAUUUGCAUAUCAACAAUGAACAUUUGCCAUUAUCCAAGGCUUUAUACAAAAUAAAGAGAUUCAUCCCAAGUCAACACAUUUGGCCAAAUUAACAUUGACACAAAACUCAAAAGUCUAAGCCCUAUACUUUCCAUAUUCAAAAUAAUAAAACCAACUAUACCAAGCACUUUGAUUGAUAGUGUGAUCGAUGCCUCCGAAGUCCGAUAAUCCUCGAGCUAAGUAGGCAGCAUUGUAAGAAAAUGGAAACGAGAGGGAGUAAGCAUAAAGCUUAGUAAGUUGCAUGCAAAUUAAUAUAACAACAAUUUUACCCUUCAUCAUCAUGCUCAUAAUAAAAAAGUAGGCAUAAGCACAACUUACUCAUCACUAUCCAAUAUAAUUCACAUAGCAUAUAUUGAGCUCACGUCUCAUACAUUUCAAUUAGGUGCCUAUACCAUUCACAACAUGGUUACAGUUUUCUCGUUUAACUUGAACUGAAACUCUCAUCAUUGAACCGUUCGAAAUGCUAUCGAAUAUUCAUUAAACCUCAAGCAUAGGGUAUAAUGCCGAUGCCAUGUCCUAGACAUGGUCUUACACUGGCUCAUCCAUCAAGUCGAUGCCAUGUCCCAGACAUGGUCUUACAAUGACUAUCAAAAUUGAGGCCGAUGCCAUGUCCCAGACAAGGUGUUACACUAACACAUCUCGUAGCCGAUACAUGUCUCAGACAUGUCUUACACUGGCUUACGUUACGAGGCCGAUGCAUGUCCCAAACAUGUCUUACACUAGCUCUAGUCUCAAUGCCGAUGCCAUAUCCCAGACAUGGUCUUACACUGGCUCUCAUAAUGUGGCCAAUGCAUGUGCCAGACAUGUCUUACACUAGCACAUAAAUGACCCAAAUGUCAUGGCAUGAAUAUCUGCAUGAAUAUCUAAUUUGUUCCUAAGGUUCAUCCGAGAGUUCUAUUAUCUGAAUAUUCAUUAUACAUAACCGUUUCCACAAACAAGAAAUUUAUGCUAUAUCAAUUCAAACACAUAUACUAACAAUGUAGUUGUAUUGUUUACUCACAACUUACCUCGGAUUACAAAAUGUAGACGACUAGCUCGGCUUAGUCCACUUGUUUUGCUUUCCCCCGGUCUAGGCCUGAAUUUUGCACUUCUUGAUCUAUAAUGAUAAAAAAUCACAAAUUUGAUCAUUUUAUUUAUCUAGGUACUCAACAAUUUGUAAUUGGGCAAAAUGACCAUUUUGCCCCUAUACUUUUGCAAAAUGACUAUUUUACCCCUAGGUCUGAAAAUUGGUUUUUAUCUAAUUUCUUCAUAUGUCAAGCCUAGACGAUUACUUUUUAUAUAGAAGCAGCCCAAAAUUCUCAUUAUUUCACACAUUUCUCCCUUAUUUUACAGCUUAUGCAAAAUGGUCCUUAGUUAGGGUUUUCAUGAAAACUACUUUACAAAAGUUGUUUAUUACACUACCAUAACUCAUUUUCUUACAUAAAAUUUUAGAAAACAACAUGAACACACUCAUGGUAAAACCUAGACUUUCAACCAUUCUGCAAAAUAGUCUCCUUGUUAGAAAGCUCAUGCUACAAGAACCUCAAAAGUACAAAAAUAUUCAAGAAAAACCCUCAAAUCACUUACUUGCAAAGGCUUUAAGUUGCUGAAAAUUUUUCAAGCUUCCCUGGCCAUUUUCUUGGAGAAAAAUCGGUGGAGAAGAAAGAGAGAGAUGAAAAAAUGACAACUUUUGCUAUUUGUUUUAUUUUAUUCAAUUUCAACACCUAAUUUCACCAAAAUUUGACUUUUGACCACCUUUGUCUCCUAUGGCUGGCCAUGAUAUUCUAAAGGGUCUAAUUGCCCUUUAAAGACCUCCAAUUUAGGUUCUUUAGAUAUUUGACACCCUUAGCUAUCAAAAUAGGACUUUUGCACUUUAUGCGAUUUAGUCUUUUUUUCACAAUUAAGCAUGAAAUCACUACAAUUACUUCACCAAAAUUUUCAUGCAAAUAUAAACAUGUUAUAAAUUAAAAUUAAUAAUAAAAUACUUUCUUUGACUUUGGAUUGGUGGUCCCAAAACCAGUGUUCCGACUGGGCCCAAAAUUGGGCUGUUACAAAUCUCAAAUGAAGAAAUUAAGGUGGCACUCUUUGACAUGGCCCCACUUAAAGCUCCGGGUAGUGAUGGUUUUCAUGCCCUUUUUUUCCAAAAGUAGUGGGGCAUCAUUGGGGAUGUGGUUUGUGAUUAGGUUAGGAAGAUUUUCAAUGGAAACCUUAUUGAGCCCGAUAUGAAUAAUACUUUAAUUGUUCUCAUCCCGAAGGUUCAAAAUUCGGAAAUGUUUGGUCAGUUCCAGCCAAUAAGUCUCUAUUUGAUCCUCUACAAGUUAACAAUGAAGGUAAUCGCAAAUCAUUUUAAGCACAUUUUUCCUAAAAUAAUUGCACAAGAACAUGCAAGAUUUAUUGUAGGAAGGAAUAUCAACGAGAACAUUAGCUUAGCCCAAGAGGUAAUUCAUUCCAUGAGAAGCCAGAAAAAGAGGAUAUGGAUAGCAAUUAAAAUUGGUUUGGAGAAAGCCUAUGAUAGAGUAAGUUGGGACUUCAUUGAAGCUUCUCUCCGAGCGAUAGGUAUUCUCGAGUAUCUUAUAAAUGAUAUUAUGGUCUCUAUUUCUAACUCUACCAUGAUGGUUAUGUGGAAUAGAAUCCCAUUAUCUAAAUUCAGUCCUGUUAGAGGCAUCCGUCAAGGGUGCCCUCUUUCUCCUUAUCUUUUUGUACUUUGUAUGGAGUGGCUUGGUCAUCUUAUUUAGACUACUAUCUUGGAAGGAAAUUGGGAUCCCAUUCAGCUUUCUAGAGAUGGGCCAGCUAUCUUGUAUUUUUUUUGCAGAUGAUUUAGUUCUCUUUAGGAAGGCUGAUUCGAAGCGCUGUAAAACUUUGAAAGAUAUUUUGGAUAGAUUUUGUACGCUUUCUGGAUAUAAAAUCAAUGCUAGGAAGACUAACAUUUUCUUUUCUAAAGGUGUGGAUGAGGAUUCAAUGGAUACGAUUAGAACUAUGCUCGGGUUCUAGCGAGUGCAUAAUCUUGGUCAUUAUCUGGGAGUUCCUCUCCUUCACCAAAGGGUUACUAGUGGCACCCUGCAAUUUGUGUGGCAAAAGUGCGUGCUAAGCUUCAAAUUUGGGAAGCCAAAAAACUCUCUUUUACAGGGAGGAUCACUCUAGCUCAAUCAGUUCUCUUAUCUAUUCCUAGUUAUUUUAUGCAAUCCAUGAUGAUACCCAGGAACACUCGUGAUGAAAUUGAAAGGUUAGUUAAACAGUUUAUUUGGGGAUCAUCCGAAAUGAAUAAGAAGAUGGCUCUGGUCAGAUAGGAUUCCAUUUUCCAACCAAAAGUGUGUGGUGGUCUUGGUUUAAGAAACCUUCGAGAUCAGAAUAUUUCUUUUUUAAUAAAAUUAGGGUUUAAAUUGGUAUCUAAUAAGGAAGAUUUUUGGGUUCGUGUGCUUAGAUCAAAGUAUAGAGUAAAAGAUGAGUUGUCGAUUAGUAUUAAUAGAGAUAGAAGUUCCUUUAUUUGGAAGUCUAUUUCCAAAAUUUGGCCUCUUCUCCAUAAGAAUUUACAUUGGCCUGUUGGUGAUGGUCACAAAAUCUAGUGCUGGCAGGAUAAUUGGAUUCCUGAUAUUGGACCCUUGUUUAGACAUAUCUCUCCUGAUGCUAAUAUGAAUUAUGAUUUCUUCUGAGCGAGAUGGUUACUGAGGAUGGCUCAUAGAACUUAGACCUCUUUCAAAUUUGGUUAUCGGAAGGGGUGAUUCAGGUUAUUAAAAGCAUUCCUCCUCCAUUUCCUUCAGAAAGUUCUGAUAGAAUUUCUUGGAAUCACACUUCGUCUGGGGUUUUUACUGUUAAGUCUGCCUAUAAGGCCAUCAAGGGAGGAGAUUGGAAUCUGGAUGAUGAAAAAUGGAAGAUGGCUUGGAAAUUUCCUGGACCUCAAUGGAUUCGAACCUUUAUUUGGACGAUACUACAAGGAAGAAUUCUCAGUAAUGUUGAACAAGUUAGGAGAGGUAUCUCGAAUGACCCUUCAUGUCACAUCUGUGGUUUUCAAUCAGAAAAUAUUUUACAUAUCGUACAUGAUUGUCUGGCAGCUAAAGAUGUUUGGAAUCAGGUUAGUCCAGGUAGGUAUAUCCCAAACUUUUUUUCUUCUCCUUUUCAAGAUUGGUUCCUUCUUAAUUUGCAGGGAAAUAGGUUGAUUCAUAAGGGGGAACUAGCUGGGCUUGUUUCUUUGGGAUGCUCAUUUGGCGCUUAUGGAAAAAUUGGAAUUUAUACAUCUUUCAAGGCAAGCCUUGGAGUGCAAAAGAAAUAGUCCAAGGAUCUUGUAGUUAGGCGUUACAUUUUUUCUCUUCCUCUCAAGAGGUCCCUGCUAG
This 6658-nucleotide long non-coding RNA is filed under the name Gossypium barbadense (sea-island cotton). Its description in RNAcentral is "long non-coding RNA (GBAR_LNC012672)". The record is from RNAcentral. Lineage: Eukaryota; Viridiplantae; Streptophyta; Magnoliopsida; Malvales; Malvaceae.